This 470-nucleotide ribosomal RNA is filed under the name uncultured Actinomycetes bacterium. Its description in RNAcentral is "bacterial SSU rRNA". It matches the Rfam family "Bacterial small subunit ribosomal RNA", at positions 9 to 489 of the family's 1533-position model. The record is from RNAcentral. Lineage: Bacteria; Bacillati; Actinomycetota; Actinomycetes.
GAGUUUGAUCCUGGCUCAGGANGAACGCUGGCGGCGUGCNUAACACAUGCAAGUCGAAUGAGGUCCAGCCAACCUUCGGGGAGGCGAAGACCUAGUGGCGAACGGGUGCGUAACACGUGAGAAACCUGCCCCAGACUUGGGAAUAACAGUCGGAAACGGCUGCUAAUACCGAAUACCUUCGGAGCGUNGCAUGGCGCAUCGAAGAAAGCUUUUGCGGUUUGGGAGGGUCUCGCGGCCUAUCAGCUUGUUGGUGAGGUAACGGCUCACCAAGGCAUCGACGGGUAGCUGGUCUGAGAGGAUGAUCAGCCACACUGGGACUGAGACACGGCCCAGACUCCUACGGGAGGCAGCAGUGGGGAAUAUUGCACAAUGGGCGAAAGCCUGAUGCAGCAACGCCGCGUGCGGGAAGAAGGCCCUAGGGUUGUAAACCGCUUUCAGCAGGGAAGAAACUGACGGUACCUGCAGAAGAA